RNAcentral lists this ribosomal RNA (266 nucleotides) under uncultured bacterium. Its description in RNAcentral is "partial 16S ribosomal RNA". It matches the Rfam family "Bacterial small subunit ribosomal RNA", at positions 793 to 1055 of the family's 1533-position model. The record is from RNAcentral.
GUCCACGCCCUAAACGAUGAUGACUAGUUGUUGGAGGAGUUAAAUCCUUUAGUAACGCAGCUAACGCGAGAAGUCAUCCGCCUGGGGAGUACGGUCGCAAGAUUAAAACUCAAAGGAAUUGACGGGGGCCCCGCACAAGCGGUGGAUGAUGUGGUUUAAUUCGACGCAACGCGAAAACCUUACCUACCCUUGACAUGUACGGAAGCCCGCUGAGAGGUGGGUGUGCCCGAAAGGGAGCCGUAACACAGGUGCUGCAUGGCUGUCGU